CCUACGGGUGGCAGCAGUAGGGAAUCUUUCACAAUAGGCGAAAGCCUGAUGGAGCAACGCCGCGUGCAGGAUGAAGGCCUUCGGGUUGUAAACUUCUUUUGUAAGCGAGGAAUAUAAUGGUAACUUAUGAAUAAGGAUCGGAUAACUACCGGACAGCAGACGCGGGCAAACGUAGGAUCCGAGCAUGAUCCGGAGUGACUGGGGGGAAAGAGUUGCGUAAGUGGCAUAAUAAGUAGCUAGUGAAAGCUGGUGGCGCAACCAUUCAGACUAUUAGCUAAACUGUUAAGCUAGAGAACGUUAGGGGGAACUGGAAGUUCUAGUGUAGGAGUGAAAUCCGUAGAUAUGAGGAGGAACACCAGGGGCGAAGGCGGCCCGCUGGGCUUUUACUGACGCUGAGGUUCGAAAGUGUGGGGAGCAAACAGGAGUAGAUACCCGUGUAGUC
RNAcentral lists this ribosomal RNA (442 nucleotides) under uncultured bacterium. RNAcentral describes it as "partial 16S ribosomal RNA". It matches the Rfam family "Bacterial small subunit ribosomal RNA", at positions 338 to 795 of the family's 1533-position model. The record is from RNAcentral.